RNAcentral lists this ribosomal RNA (450 nucleotides) under uncultured bacterium. Its description in RNAcentral is "bacterial SSU rRNA". It matches the Rfam family "Bacterial small subunit ribosomal RNA", at positions 330 to 794 of the family's 1533-position model. The record is from RNAcentral.
UCCAGACUCCUACGGGAGGCAGCAGUGGGGAAUAUUGCACAAUGGGGGAAACCCUGAUGCAGCGACGCCGCGUGAGCGAAGAAGUAUUUCGGUAUGUAAAGCUCUAUCAGCAGGGAAGAAAAAAAUGACGGUACCUGAGUAAGAAGCACCAGCUAAAUACGUGCCAGCAGCUGCGGUAAUACGUAUGGUGCAAGCGUUAUCCGGAUUUACUGGGUGUAAAGGGAGCGUAGGCGGCGCGUUAAGUCUGGUGUGAAAACCCGAGGCUCAACCACGGGAGUGCAUUGGAAACUGGCGGGCUGGAGUGCCGGAGAGGUAAGCGGAAUUCCUAGUGUAGCGGUGAAAUGCGUAGAUAUUAGGAGGAACACCAGUGGCGAAGGCGGCUUACUGGACGGCAACUGACGCUGAGGCUCGAAAGCGUGGGGAGCAAACAGGAUUAGAUACCCCGGUACC